Molecule: ribosomal RNA, 405 nt
Filed under: uncultured bacterium
Lineage: Bacteria
Description: bacterial SSU rRNA
Rfam family: Bacterial small subunit ribosomal RNA
Source: RNAcentral
UAAGGAAUCUUCCACAAUGGACGAAAGUCUGAUGGAGCAACGCCGCGUGCAGGAAGACGGCUUUCGGGUUGUAAACUGCUUUUAUUUGGGAAGAUUAUGACGGUACCAAAUGAAUAAGGACCGGCUAACUACGUGCCAGCAGCCGCGGUAAUACGUAGGGUCCAAGCGUUAUCCGGAAUCACUGGGCGUAAAGCGUGCGUAGGCGGCGUUCUAAGUGAGAUGUGAAAUCUGGUGGCUCAACCAUCUAGACUGUGUCUCAUACUGGAAUGCUUGAGGAUGGCAGAGGCAAGUGGAAUUAGUAGUGUAGCAGUGAAAUGCGUAGAGAUUACUAGGAACACCAAUGGCGAAGGCAGCUUGCUGGGCCAUUUCUGACGCUGAGGUACGAAAGCGUGGGGAGCGAACAGG